RNAcentral lists this transfer RNA (73 nucleotides) under Candidatus Buchananbacteria bacterium RIFCSPHIGHO2_02_FULL_39_17. Its description in RNAcentral is "tRNA-Cys". It matches the Rfam family "tRNA". From Rfam's summary of the family: Transfer RNA (tRNA) molecules are approximately 80 nucleotides in length. The record is from RNAcentral. Lineage: Bacteria; Candidatus Buchananiibacteriota.
GCGUCCGUGGCUAAGCAGUUAAAGCGGCUCCCUGCAGAGGAGCAGAUCGAGGGUUCAAAUCCCUCCGGGCGCU